GGUGGGGCCGCCACUUCUCGCCCGUUCGGCGGACAUCUCGAAACUGCCCUGGAGAGCGCCGCUGUCUCUCCCAAUCCUCUCUCGCCCUCCUCGCUCUCUCCCUAAUCCCCUCCACAUCCUCUCCUCCUUGCUCGCCGCAUCUGCACUCUACCGGAGAAAGCGGAGGUCGUGGUGCGGGCCUCGUGUGCGCGCGACGGAGGAGGGCGGGUGCUUCGGUGGUGCGCGCACGCUAGGUUGAGGAGGGACUGGCUUUCGGCUGUCUGCACGUGCACGGCUGAAGGAGCGCCGAGCUGCGGUGUACGCGCGACUGAAGGAGUGCUGGGCUGCAGUGGUCCGCGCGUCGGAGGAGCGCGAGGCUGCGGUGGUCCGCGCGUCGGAGGAGCGCGAGGCUGCGGUGGUGCGUGCGGCGUGUCUGCGGAAGGCGGAGCUUGGUGUGGAACGCAGGUCGCCGGUGACGCUGCGGUGGACUUGUUGCUGAAAUCGCGAGGAUACAAAUCAGAGUCAGAAAAGAGCAGUUGCAGAUGAUGUAUGCAGACUUUUUGUUCUGAAUUUGGAGGCGGUUUUUGAACAUAUGUGAAACUUUGUAGUACUACUUUUAAAAGACAUGGUGAUUUGUUUUAGUUCAAUGUUUUACUUUGCGUUGAAACUAUGUUUCUUGUUUAGGGACAAGUUUCUUUAUUGAUAUGUGCCACUUGCACAACAUUUGCAACAAUGUGUGGUGGGGGUAUUAAAAAAGGGUAUGUGUGAUCUGGUGCAGUCCAGCAAGGUAUUAACUAACAACAACUUAAUAGGAAUCAACCACAGUAUUAAGAACCAGUGUUGGGGAGGGGACUCCUUUUUCUUAGCAAGCAUGCAUAUAGUCAUGCAAGUUCAGGGAUCAAAAUAGAUGUGCCGGAAUCUAACCAAAUGGUGCCCAAGAUCUCAAGAAAGGAGGAAAUAGGGGAACUAAUUGUUGUCUUAAACAGGGGAUAAAAAAAGAAAAAGAGGUAGAUCUGAAGAGACCGAACAGGAGAAAAAGAGGUAGAUCAUGCUGAAGGAUAUCCUAUAAUCAAGGGUGAACCAAGGUUUCCAGAUCAGGGCAAGGAGGCACACCUCUUUUUCGUAGCUUGGGGGAGAAGAAGAUGGGGAUGCGUGGGUGGGUAUGGUCAGAAGAAGGGAACGGCUUGGAACCACGUGACGGGGGGACCAAGCGGAGUUGGGUUGUGGGAGGGUGGACAUGCAAUUCGCGUGAUACAGUGGUGGACCGGCCGGUUUCCUUUUUGCCCGGCGGACCAAAACAUUCCUUUUGUGGCCUGCUGCCAGGGAUCGCUAGGGAGCAAACGGCUGCUCCCUAGACGCGUCCAAGAAAAAAUAACCCUGGACCAAAUUUCAAGGGGCAGUUAAAAAUAA
RNA transcript from Triticum urartu, 1389 nucleotides. RefSeq lists it as uncharacterized. NCBI's taxonomy places the organism in Eukaryota, Viridiplantae, Streptophyta, Magnoliopsida, Poales, Poaceae. The record is from RefSeq and is a predicted model, not a curated record.